UGCGUAGGUGGUUUCUUAAGUCAGAGGUGAAAGGCUACGGCUCAACCGUAGUAAGCCUUUGAAACUGAGAGACUUGAGUGCAGGAGAGGAGAGUAGAAUUCCUAGUGUAGCGGUGAAAUGCGUAGAUAUUAGGAGGAAUACCAGUUGCGAAGGCGGCUCUCUGGACUGUAACUGACACUGAGGCACGAAAGCGUGGGGAGCAAACA
Molecule: ribosomal RNA, 206 nt
Filed under: uncultured bacterium
Lineage: Bacteria
Description: partial 16S ribosomal RNA
Rfam family: Bacterial small subunit ribosomal RNA
Source: RNAcentral